GGCCAGAUAGCUCAGUUGGUUAAAGUGCUGUCCUGAUAUGUCAAGGAUGCAGGUUUGAUCCCUGGUCAGGGCA
This 73-nucleotide transfer RNA is filed under the name Myotis lucifugus (little brown bat). It matches the Rfam family "tRNA". Rfam says of the family: Transfer RNA (tRNA) molecules are approximately 80 nucleotides in length. Their secondary structure includes four short double-helical elements and three loops (D, anti-codon, and T loops). Further hydrogen bonds mediate the characteristic L-shaped molecular structure. tRNAs have two regions of fundamental functional importance: the anti-codon, which is responsible for specific mRNA codon recognition, and the 3' end, to which the tRNAs corresponding amino acid is attached (by aminoacyl-tRNA synthetases). tRNAs cope with the degeneracy of the genetic code in two manners: having more than one tRNA (with a specific anti-codon) for a particular amino acid; and 'wobble' base-pairing, i.e. permitting non-standard base-pairing at the 3rd anti-codon position. The record is from Rfam by way of RNAcentral. Lineage: Eukaryota; Metazoa; Chordata; Mammalia; Chiroptera; Vespertilionidae.